AGGAGACGAAAAAAAAGUAGUCGCUACCAAGAAUCAAUCCCAAAAGGUCGGAGCGAGGCGAAAUUGGCUUUCAAACUAGGUUCUGGGUUCACACAAGACCUGAAUCAGGAACAAGGGCUAUUAGCUCAGGUGGUUAGAGCGCACCCCUGAUAAGGGUGAGGUCCCUGGUUCGAGUCCAGGAUGGCCCACCUGCACAGGUGGCAAAAACAAAGAAGCGAGGAAUCAGCACCUUAUCUUACUGACAUAGUAAGAGAGAAUGCUGGCUCUGAGUAAAGAGUCCAGAGGAACCUUGAAAACUGCAUAGAGCUAGGUGAAAAA
RNAcentral lists this transfer RNA (318 nucleotides) under Microcystis aeruginosa NIES-1070. Its description in RNAcentral is "partial miscellaneous RNA". The stretch from base 115 to 188 matches the Rfam family "tRNA". The record is from RNAcentral. Lineage: Bacteria; Bacillati; Cyanobacteriota; Cyanophyceae; Chroococcales; Microcystaceae.